Molecule: ribosomal RNA, 492 nt
Filed under: uncultured bacterium
Lineage: Bacteria
Description: partial 16S ribosomal RNA
Rfam family: Bacterial small subunit ribosomal RNA
Source: RNAcentral
AGUGAACGCUGGCGAUAGGCCUAACACAUGCAAGUCGAACGGCAGCACAGUAAGAGCUUGCUCUUACGGGUGGCGAGUGGCGGACGGGUGAGGAAUACAUCGGAAUCUACUUUUUCGUGGGGGACAACGUAGGGAAACUUACGCUAAUACCGCAUACGACCUACGGGUGAAAGCAGGGGAUCUUCGGGCCUUGCGCGAUUGAAUGAGCCGAUGUCGGAUUAGCUAGUUGGCGGGGUAAAGGCCCACCAAGGCGACGAUCCGUAGCUGGUCUGAGAGGAUGAUCAGCCACACUGGAACUGAGACACGGUCCAGACUCCUACGGGAGGCAGCAGUGGGGAAUAUUGGACAAUGGGCGCAAGCCUGAUCCAGCCAUACCGCGUGGGUGAAGAAGGCCUUCGGGUUGUAAAGCCCUUUUGUUGGGAAAGAAAAGCAGCAGGUUAAUACCCCGCUGUUCUGACGGUACCCAAAGAAUAAGCACCGGCUAACUUCGUG